GAUCCGGUGGUUCCGCAUGGAAGGGCCAUCGCUCAACGGAUAAAAGCUACCCCGGGGAUAACAGGCUUAUCUCCCCCAAGAGUUCACAUCGACGGGGAGGUUUGGCACCUCGAUGUCGGCUCAUCGCAUCCUGGGGCUGUAGUCGGUCCCAAGGGUUGGGCUGUUCGCCCAUUAAAGCGGUACGCGAGCUGGGUUCAGAACGUCGUGAGACAGUUCGGUCCCUAUCCGUCGUGGGCGUAGGAAAUUUGAGAGGAGCUGUCCUUAGUACGAGAGGACCGGGAUGGACAUACCUCUGGUGUACCAGUUGUCGUGCCAACGGCAUAGCUGGGUAGCUAUGUGUGGACGGGAUAAGUGCUGAAAGCAUCUAAGCAUGAAGCCCCCCUCAAGAUGAGAUUUCCCAACUUCGGUUAUAAGAUCCCUCAAAGAUGAUGAGGUUAAUAGGUUCGAGGUGGAAGCAUGGUGACAUGUGGAGCUGACGAAUACUAAUCGAUCGAAGACUUAAUCAAAA
This 508-nucleotide ribosomal RNA is filed under the name Staphylococcus aureus. Its description in RNAcentral is "partial 23S ribosomal RNA". It matches the Rfam family "Bacterial large subunit ribosomal RNA", at positions 2417 to 2925 of the family's 2925-position model. The record is from RNAcentral. Lineage: Bacteria; Bacillati; Bacillota; Bacilli; Caryophanales; Staphylococcaceae.